UUCAAGACAUCAGAAAAGUAGAGAUUUUUCUCACUUCCAGGGAGCUUGUGGUGAUUGCGAACAAGCAGUGGUGAAUCUUGAAAUGGGCUGAUGCGUUUAUGAUGAUGAAUUUGAAACAAUAAAAAUUCGGUGAGCACACCUUAUCGUGCACCCUGUUGUUAGACAGGUCAGAGAUGUAGGAGAAAAAAUAGCAUCCUACAAUUGAGGUGGCACCGCGGUAUCGAAUCGUCCUCACA
RNAcentral lists this non-coding RNA (236 nucleotides) under Streptococcus sp. RNAcentral describes it as "T-box sequence". It matches the Rfam family "T-box leader". Rfam says of the family: Uncharged tRNA acts as the effector for transcription antitermination of genes in the T-box leader family. The record is from RNAcentral. Lineage: Bacteria; Bacillati; Bacillota; Bacilli; Lactobacillales; Streptococcaceae.